This is a long non-coding RNA of Vombatus ursinus (common wombat), 602 nucleotides long. RefSeq lists it as uncharacterized. The record is from RefSeq and is a predicted model, not a curated record. The transcript is spliced from 3 exons. NCBI's taxonomy places the organism in Eukaryota, Metazoa, Chordata, Mammalia, Diprotodontia, Vombatidae.
AACAUUUAAAACAAAGAGGAGACUUUUUAUAGCAGACGUGCCAGGCAUACCAGAGAGACACAGCAUGGACAACGAGCCUGUUUCGUGGGGCAGGGCUAAACAAGGCAAGAUAGAACCUCGGCGGGCAUUAGGAGGUUGGAGACAGGGUUGCAAGUCUCUGAGGCCCAGACGGGGUUCCUGCGCAGAGAUCCAGGCAGGUUGGUGUGUUUGUCUGACAUCAGGAAGAUGAUGACACAACUCGCAAUUGACCCUAACCUGAGUGAGGGAGGGCUGUGCAACGUCACCAGCCUCACCCUCUCCUCCAGAGCCAUCCAGGUCCAGCGGCCAGACAGUCAUCAGGACAACUGGAGAUGGCCCAGGAUGCAAUGGGAGACCCUGGCCAAGCCAAGGUCAUUCCAGGCUCCCACCCUGAGUAUGGAUGAGGAAACAGGUUAACAGAAGUUAAGUGACUUGCCCAAGACUAUGUGCUGAGUUAAUGACAAAGCUGGACUGGGGAGACUUGGAAAGUUUUUGAGACCCAGAGAUCCUCUCUCAAACAGGCACCUUGUGGUACAGUAAAUAGAGCAAUGCGCCUGGACUCAGGAAGACCUGAGUUCAAAUUU